Molecule: long non-coding RNA, 996 nt
Organism: Panicum virgatum (switchgrass)
Lineage: Eukaryota; Viridiplantae; Streptophyta; Magnoliopsida; Poales; Poaceae
Exons: 2
Source: RefSeq, a predicted model, not a curated record
AAAAGACGAAACCUGACCCUGGAUCAGGCCUCUCAAUGGGCCACGUCGACUGUUUUUUUCUUGCCGUCUGAUUUUGAUCGAGCCAUCCAAAAGCGAGCGUAGCAUCCGGCGUUUCCAUAGCCGUCCCGAGCGCUGUCUCCCUCAAUCGGGCGGCUCGUUGCCCCUUCCCCGCCUCGCAGCCGCACCCCCACCGGCGGCGCUCGUCCAAGCAGCAGCUGUGGCACGGAGUCCCUAGAACUAGUAUUCCUCCCGCCAUCCACCGUGCGAUCCGAGUACGGGGCUGGGCGCUCCGCGCCGAGAAAGAUUGAGGCGGCCGGAGGUGCGCGGCUGAGGAACGAGGCGUGGCAGCCGCAGAGCACGAAUCGCCUCCAUCGCUAGGAAAGAGCGCACAUAUGGCCGGAGGAAGGGCAAUUAGGCUCGUCGUUGCUGGAUUUUCUCCUCCCUCCGGUCGUAUUCGAUGCUCCGGAAGAGCCGCAGCGUCUGCGCUGAGCUAAGAAAGCACAUGCGACGAAGCAGGCAAGUAGGAUCGCGGCUCCACCGCACCCCUACCUGUAUGCCCUCCGCUUCGCAAAGCGCAGCCGGCCAUUGCUCCGACAGGCCGAGCGGCCGUCAACACCGACGAUGCCCAACAGUUGCUCGAUGAAAUGUCUUCAAGGAAAGCUGGCUGGACCACAGACGUCCCGCGGCCAUGUCUUGCUCGCAUUCGAUGAAGCCUGCUGCUGCUGCAAGACGUACAAGCUCCAAGAGCUAAUGAAUAAUGAGCUGUGCUAUUCCUCAAUGCACGGUGUCACAGACAGCAGGUCACAGAACACGGAUGGCAAAGACAGGACCUCUUAAGCCCCAACACAAUCUAUGAUAAAUAUGUAUGUAAGCAUGAAGACUGUGCUGCAUCUAGGUAUUCCACAGUACUGCUCUGUAAACAAAUGUGACAACCUACAAUUGAUAUUUUACUUAUAUACCAUUACUUGACAAAUAAAAUGCGCCUUUGUUUUAUCA